Molecule: ribosomal RNA, 491 nt
Filed under: uncultured bacterium
Lineage: Bacteria
Description: bacterial SSU rRNA
Rfam family: Bacterial small subunit ribosomal RNA
Source: RNAcentral
GAGUUUGAUCCUGGCUCAGGAUGAACGCUAGCUACAGGCUUAACACAUGCAAGUCGAGGGGCAGCAUGGUCUUAGCUUGCUAAGGCCGAUGGCGACCGGCGCACGGGUGAGUAACACGUAUCCAACCUGCCGUCUACUCUUGGACAGCCUUCUGAAAGGAAGAUUAAUACAAGAUGGCAUCAUGAGUCCGCAUGUUCACAUGAUUAAAGGUAUUCCGGUAGACGAUGGGGAUGCGUUCCAUUAGAUAGUAGGCGGGGUAACGGCCCACCUAGUCUUCGAUGGAUAGGGGUUCUGAGAGGAAGGUCCCCCACAUUGGAACUGAGACACGGUCCAAACUCCUACGGGAGGCAGCAGUGAGGAAUAUUGGUCAAUGGGCGAGAGCCUGAACCAGCCAAGUAGCGUGAAGGAUGACUGCCCUAUGGGUUGUAAACUUCUUUUAUAAAGGAAUAAAGUCGGGUAUGGAUACCCGUUUGCAUGUACUUUAUGAAUAA